CAUGUCUGGAAUUUAUAAAUGCGUCAGAUUUACGACAUUGAGUCCCCGAGCCAAAAUUAUUUGCCAAAGGAUUUCUUAAAAUGUGUCGAUUUUGAGAUCUAUUGGGUUUUGGGGGAUGUUUAGAAAUCGUGAAAAUGUUUUCAACAAAGGCGACACAGUAAAAUAUGAGGGUUGUACAGGAUUUUUUCAUGCUUUUUGAUUUGCUGGAGAUAAAGUGCCAUAUUUCACAAUCAUAAAUUUUUCUUCCUUUUAAUUUAAGUAUGCUUGUAUUUAAGCACGAACAAAAUACGAAAGAAAUUCAAAAAGCCAAAGAUCCUGCAGCCCAAAAGGAGAGAGUACAUUAUAAAAACCAUGCAUCUUCUGAGGAUCCUCGUUAUUUUACUCAUUGCUGUAAGCUUUCAAGAAAACUCCGAGGCGAACUCUACAGAAGCUUCUAACACAGCCGCUAACGCCGCUGUUACCAUAGUUACGGUAAAUCAAAAUCCAAUCACUACAACGACCGGAAACUUCACCUCCGGAAAUGGAACCAACGCAGUGUCUUCUGAUGUCCUUUUUACGUCGCUGAUUCUGAUUGGUGUAUUCGUUUUAGGUUUAUUGAAAUGGUAACAUGACUUGUAGACAAUAUCCAGGGUAUGGAUGAUUUUUCUUUAUACAUGUAUAGCCUAUGAUCUUGUUAGAAGGGAGGUUGAUUAUGAAAUUAUCACUUGCAGAAAUAAACGUAAAAAUAGUAAAUUUUACGAUAUUGUAUAUUUUGU
Molecule: long non-coding RNA, 755 nt
Organism: Saccostrea cuccullata (small rock oyster)
Lineage: Eukaryota; Metazoa; Mollusca; Bivalvia; Ostreida; Ostreidae
Exons: 3
Source: RefSeq, a predicted model, not a curated record